Molecule: microRNA, 24 nt
Filed under: Equus caballus (horse)
Lineage: Eukaryota; Metazoa; Chordata; Mammalia; Perissodactyla; Equidae
Description: eca-miR-8926
Source: miRBase by way of RNAcentral
AGAAAGAUCAGAAGGUACACGGGC